Long non-coding RNA from Brassica napus (rape), 7391 nucleotides. RefSeq lists it as uncharacterized. The record is from RefSeq and is a predicted model, not a curated record. The transcript has 2 exons. Lineage: Eukaryota; Viridiplantae; Streptophyta; Magnoliopsida; Brassicales; Brassicaceae.
CUCGAUAGGAACUCCUCCGGAUACUCGCAUGAAGUUGGAUGAUCAGCUGCCAAAAGAAAAAACAAUGAGAAUAAAGACGGUUAGUAUGCGAAGAAACGACGCGAGUUAACAGAGGUAUUCUGCCGAGCAGAGUAUUCCAUAACACCCCGUAGUCGUUAUCCGGAGGAUCCUCGAAGGUAGAAUCAUCGGACUUGAUAUAAAAAUAGGACCUCUGCCAGUCGAACGUCUUGUUAGGAUGUCCCCCUACUACGUUGUAGUUUGGUCGCAUUUCAAUCGACAGAAUGCCUUCAUCUAACGGGUUGAUAGGCGUUAACUCCUCGAAAGCGCGAACACUCAGAGAAAUGUCAAUCUCAGCGGCCAUUACAAUCAAGGCAACCGCGAUACGCCACGAGCCAUUAAGAAAUUGUCUUAUUGCUGCACCUUGACGCCUCACAUACGACGUAACUAGUUGAGGAAUCGGGAACUAGAGCUUCGUCUCGUCUUGAAAAUAAGAUUCAUAGACGCACUGGAACCCGACCGGUGGUGACCAAUGCCUCUGGCUCCCCGAAGGGAUUAGGAAAGUCACCCCGAAUCCUCGACGUUCCCUCAGAAUCCUCUUCACGCUAUCGGGAGUCGACCGCGUCUUGAUAACGUUCUCCCAAGCCUGGCCGCUCACAUCUGGAGAGCGCAGGAACUCGGGAGCUAGAGCCGGGAGCUCCUUGAAGAUUACCCCGGGGUAAUAGCACGUCGGUACAUAGUUAACGAGAGGAACUCCGUCUCUCGCACCUCCCGAACCGUCUCUUUCGCAGAUCUACGGUUCCAUUGGAGCUUUUCCUACUUCUUCUCGAUAUAGGCGCGCUGACUCGGAAACCAAAAUUCUUUGGGACAACUCCAAACUCCUAGUGUCUAUCAUCGCCUCGCAAUGGACCUGUUCGAACUCGUCGAGCGGAGUCCCGCUCGUGUCUCUCGCGGGACUGUAUGCAGUCGCAACCUCCUUCCCUAUCUGUUUACAAGAUAACCUCCCACCAGAAGACAUAACGCUGUCUAUUCUACAACAACAAUCUAGAGAGAAAAGAAGAGAGGAAGAGAGAGAAAAUACCUGAAUAACGCGGAGAAGAAUGGAAGAAAUGAGAAGUGGGCAAGUAUUUAUAGGGGACAAGUGGAGCAUUUCCCUGAGGCGUCAUCAUUGGGUCUACGUGGGCCUACUUGGGCCUCGAAAGAGUACCUAGCCGCCCAAGAAACCGGCGCAUCGCUUCGACUCCCCGAGAUAACCGGGUCUGACCCAGAUCAAACCGACGGUCGAGGUGAGAAUCGGGUUUAACCAAACGGAAACCGGUUUAACCGGAAUUCGAUCAAAUCGCCUAAAUUCAAGAGUACGGGACGACAUCUCGCGAUAUGUCGACCGAGCAUCGCGUCUUCACGACGAACCGUCUAUCCUUCCAAACCAUUGCCCUUCCAAAUUCAUCGAGCUCGACAGAACGUCACUCACAGAUGAACUAGGGGGACUUACUGUAGGGGAUGGAUUCGACAAUCCCUCAAGGCCCGAAGAAUAGACGGCUCGGCCCGUAUAAGACAUAGCGACAGCUCGGCCUGACGGCUCGGAGCGCCGAUCCCUCGGCGCGACGCGAGAGUGCUUUUGGUCGAUCGCACAUCGACUAAACGCAUCUGGCUCGAUGGCUCCUCGAAGCAAAGUGGACUUUUCGGCCCAACGAGUUAAAAGCCCACGAAGGCGACGCGAGCUAGGUCGCGAAAGAGCACCAAGUCGGCUAUAUAAGGAGAGAAGGGUGCGACGUAAAGAGGAUCCGAAAUCACUCACACAUACUCGGCGGCUAGAUUAGGGUUUUACCUUUAUUCUCUCGCCGUAUUGUACUUUCCCGGCAAGCUUUCCGAGCUCUGGUUUCCUUUCUGUCGCACUUUUCCUCUCUUUGUAACCGACCAAACGCUUUUCCGACCAUCUAUAAGACGUCUUUGCUUAACCCACAUCUGAAAUCAAACGUUUCAUCUUUUAAUAUCGUUUCCCGAUCAAACAGGGCCUCACUGACGAGAAUACGAAAUGGAGGGGCAGGGACGGAACCGUAGCCGACGAGAUGCAGAAUUUGCCUCGCACGCACCGUCACGACACACUGUCACUUGCGCUGUCACCGCACACGCGCCACCACCUCCUAAGCGUGUGUCACCAGAGAACAUUGAAAAACAAGCCGAAGCUCACCACAAUUGAAACUCUCAUGCCUCCACCAGAGAUCCAUAGCAGAAGAAAGGAAAGGUCUUCAGAUCCGCGAAAUCAUCUGACCAAACCACUGUCGAACCUUAGCACCACCGGAGCGCCACCAUCCAGAGGAGCUGACAAGCUGCGACGAGGCUUCACGACACCACUCGCUCCAUCACUCUUGAGGAACCAUAGGAGGCAAGGAAAAUCAGAGCCAGUCAGAGACACCAUUGAAACAAGAAGCGAGCCGAAGGUGGAGCAGUCACCGUCCUCUAGCGACGCCACCAUCCAGAACGCGAACCGAGAUCCAACGGAGUCACCGGAUCUGAGACUGGCUCAAGACCUACGAUGAAACCACGCCACCACCGAAGAAAGAGAGACAGGGGAGGAGACCAGAGACACAAGAACACAGAGUCGGAGCCCGGCGGUGGCGACCGCCGGAAAACAAAGGAGGAGGCCUGAAACCCUAGGCGGCGGUAGAAGGAAGGAGAAACAAUGGGGACAAAAAGUUUUCGAGGAGAGAUAAACUAAUUCGUAAUGAAUGUUUUAAGGAUUUUUAUUUUAUUUCUAUGAAAACAUGUAUUCUAUUAAUGAUUUUCGAUGGUUAAAGGAUUUUUAUGUAUUUUUGCUUCAUAGCUGUGUUAUUCUUGUAAUUACAAAAAUAUAAGAGUUAAUCUAGUAAUUAUAUAUAUGGUUAGAGUUAUUAUAAGUAAUUUCUUAUUGUGUAAAGCAUCAUUAGUCAUGGAUAUCUUAAUAUGAGCUUCUAGACAAUAUUUUAUUAAUAUUUAUUAAAAUAUUUUUAUCUAUCUAUCUUUAUAUAUAAAAGAAGCAUUGUAUCCAUCCUGAGGCUGCCAGCUCGGAUUCCACGUCGGAAAUAGGAGCUCCCUCGCGCUGACACGUCGGAUCCGCACCGUUUCACUAAAGUUUCUGUCUGAACGAGCUUCACGCGCUAACCAGAGGUUUCUUCUUCACGAGGCCCAUAUCCACAGAUCUUAUACGGAAAACCCUAAUCAGUUGCUCCCUUCCUGAUCUUCGUUCGUCUUCUAUCGGCGCAUCGAUCGUCCAGAACCUGUAACGGUUAUGCUUUUAAUCGUCUUUAAUCGUCUUUAAUUCCUACCCCACUCAAAUCAACCUCUUGAGCCGUUCAUCGGCUAUAUUGUGUAUAAAUAUGCUUCGAUUUCACAGAUGCGCUUUCCACGCUUUCCUAAUCUCACACCUUGCUCAUACUCAGACCUUACUCAUCAUCUUCUUAAAUGGCUUUGACAAAGGUUUUCUUUUCCGAUCUCAAGACUGGGCGGUGCUCAUCUGUUGUGGAGGCAAGACUGCUUCGAUUCUGGGAGGCUAAGAACGUUAAGCGUGGUGGUGAGCUGAUGUGGAUGGAUCUGCUCAUGGUCGAUGUCAACUCAACCAUGAUGCAAGUCACGAUCAGUGCUGGCCGUCUUCCACAGUUUCGGGAUAGGCUCCUUGCCGGAACAAUGUUUUCAUUGUCCGGUUUUGAUGUCUCCAGAUGCGCACAGAAUUUCCGGCUCACUGAUUCGUCUUUUAUGAUCCGGUUCAGCGAGACUACCUUAUUCCAACUGUUGACUGAACCUGACUCCCCCUUGCCAGAGGAAGCAUUCCGGUUCCGUAACCAACAGGAGCUAAUUGGUCUUGCCAAUACAAACACUCAGCUACCAGGUAUGUUGAUCACAGGUAGCACGUACUUAUAUGUUGUUGAUAUUUUGAGUAUAGAGUUAGGAUCGGACUGGUAUUAUAAAGAAAAUGAUACCGGCUUCGAACUUGAUGUAGACAUCAUAUGUGAGAUAUUGAGUGUGAAGAGCACGGUUUGUGAUCCUCCAGAGGAGAAGAAUCGUGUUAUGGUGACUCUGAAGCUGGAAAGGUAAAUUUUUGACUCUCAUGCUGUUUUAUUUUUUCCAUAAUGUGCAGUGAUGAAUAUAUUUGAUGUCAAUUGAUUCUCUGAUAUGUGCAGUGAUGAGACCGUCACUUUAAGCUUCUUUGACUCUCAGGCGGUUACUUUCCAUAACCAGCUUGAGGCUAUGAGAUCCGAAGGUCAUGGUCGUAACUAGCAUCAAUCCCAAGAUAGUCGGAGGUAUCGAAUUGUGUGGUAUACUGUGAUAUCAUAACACUUUUCUCCUGAAAAAUUGCCAUCUAUGUAGGUCGUCUGUUUCUUAACGCUACGUCUGGAACGCACGUGUAUUUUGAUAAGAAGACUAUAGCAGGAGCUGCUCGAUUCUACAGGUAUGAAUGUCGUUAAUCAGCCGUGUGUUUGUGUGUUCGGUUGUUCUUUGCCUAAUCAUUAUGCUCUGCGUAGGCUGGUCGCCAGAGAUCUGGUCUGCCGUCGGCCGCUCCACUGCUAAAGUCAUAUGCGAAGGUGGAGACUAUGACCAUCGCUGACCUCAGCAGUUUCGUCGUUUCUGCUGCAUCUCAGGUAUAAUAGCUGUUGGUUUUGUUUUGUAUUAUUUUAUCUGUAGUGUCAGUGUUCGCUUUUCAUGUGAGUCUUGAUUAUAUGUUGCAGGAGAUUGAUUUUCUGUGCACUGGGAAAGUUGUCCGGGUUGACACAAAUAAGGGGUGGUGUUAUGUUGCCUGCUCAAAAUGCAGUAAAAAAUUACAGCGGACUGAGUCUGCAUUCACGUGUGGAGUAUGCAACAAUCCACAUGCUGUUGGGGCCCUACGGUAAGUAUCGCGUCUUAUAUAUAAGGAUUUACACGUCUGCUGGUGACCUGACCUCACCUUUACCAUCUUCAUAUAGCUAUCGUGUGGAGAUGGCAAUAUCUGAUGAUACUGCGGAAGGAGUAUUCGUAUGGUUCGAUGGUGUAUUAACGAAGCUGCAUAGUAUCCGAGCAAGCGAAGCUGCACAAAUGCUGGUAUGACUCAUAACUGUUUACAUUCGUGAUGUCAACGAAAUCUUACUUCUCAUCUUUUUUUUUUCUUACAAGGCUGAAGACGGUGUGAACCCUGAGGACACUAGGUUACCCCCGUUCAUUGCAGAUAUGGAAGGAAAAACGUACACUUUCCAAGUGAGGGUCACUGCGUUUAACUUUACCGAGCAUCACAAGACAUUCACCAUAACACGUAUUGCUGAGGAUCAUGGUUGUCUACCAGUAGAUGACGUCGUGAACAAUGUAAGUUAUGUGUGUAUCGUGAUGUUCAAUUAGCUCCUUGCUGGUUGCAUAUACGUUUUUGCAUAUUGUACAGGGAGAUGAUGACGACGACGAUGAUGAUGAUGCCAGUCCGACCAUCGAGCCAUCGUCUGCUGCAGGUGAUCAAGGUGGAACCAGUAAGGCGCGUAAGAAGACUGGCGCAGGGGCGUCAAAGGUGGCGAAGAAGGCACGUGCUGGUUGAGAUAUAUCAACAAUUAAUAAUGUUCAGACUAUCGUUUACAUAAUGUUUAUGCAUGUUUAUUUGAUUUCGCAAAUUUGAAUAUUUCUGUUUUGGAUAUUCCCCAUUAUAUGGGCCCUUACGGCCUGCAUUUCGGUUCGGUUUUAAUUAUGAGGUGUUAACCUUCCGGUUAGUAUAUUAUUAUUUAUGUUAUUUUUACGGUUAGUCUAUAAUUAUUUAUAUUAAAUUUUUAUGUUACAUUGUAUGUGUUAAAAAAUAUAUAUAGGAUUUUCUAUCGUUAGUUACGUAUCUAUAUAGUAAGCUUUUGUGUUUCCCAUUCGCGGACAUAUGUUUUUAUAAUGUCGAUGGAAAAAUACAUGAGUAUAAUAUAAUAUAUAUAUAUAUUUAAAUAUAAUAACAUAUAACUCAUUCCUUUGUCAUUACCAUUGAAACACUAUUUAAUUUGUACAACUGACGCAAUAGUUGCUUGCUAUUAUUGUCCAGGCAUCCAUAAUCCUAAAUUUAAUAUAUCUACCAACUAAUUAGGAAUGUAUAACAAAAAUCAGACAAACCAUCAAACUCUCAUGCAUUUCUCCCUCCAAUAACAAAAAAAAACCACGCGACAUACGAACAACUAAGAUUAAUAUACUAAUACUUUAGUUUCAAGAUCAUCUUAUAAUUGACACCCCGCCCUACGGGCGGGCCGACCCUAGUAUAUAUUACUAUAAGGAAAACAUUACCUUUUUUUUCCUUCUGCCACGUAGAAAAUAAGGUAAGAAGAACGCGUCACGUGUAUUAACUAAAUCAGUUAUGAACUUGGUUUUGUUGGAUCUCUUAAUGGCCUCCGUUUUUCUUUUCAUUUUACAUUUUUACGGGCAUGUGUUGAGCUCUUAAUCAGGCCCUCUUGGAGAAUCAGCCGCCUCCAUUAACAACACUUCUCACCCUCGCCGUUCUUCAUACCGUCAUAAAAAAAGACUGGAUCCGUUACAGAUUCAGGCUGAAUCGAAGCGUCUCAUGAACGCAAUCAUUAACAAAAUCUCUCCACCACUCUCACGAUCUGUCAAUGAAUGCAUCCCCAUUACUUCCUUUCUCAGAAUCUUCAAUUAUGAAAAUGUAUUUGUUGUCCUGUGAAAAUCAUCAGUUCAAUUUUCUCAUUCAUAAGCUUCCUAACUCUAAACAUCUCUUCUUCAAGGAGAUGUGUGCUUAUCACAACAUUUGUGGACAUCUAGACCAACCUAGUCAGCAUCGUCGGGAGCAGCAGAGCUGUUACGCGGAACGGUGAGAAUUGCGGAGAGUGAGGAGGAGGAAUACUCGGAUAUGGUGGAGGAUUGGAGUCGUAUGGAGCAGACGAGCAAGAAGCAGAGGAGAGGGGAAGGAGUAUGGGUGGAGUUAAAGCUGAUGAGAGAGGAAACGGCGUGUAUGUUGGAUGAUCCGGUCCAGGGCGUGUGGUAGAAGGCGUUGGAGCUGGUCGAGAGGAAGGUUGGGUACGAGUAGGAGGCGGGGGAGCUGGAGAAGCAGACAAUGAAGUGGAUGAGAUAUCAUAGCAAGAAAGCGAGAGAAAUGGAGAAAGUUAAGCUAGAGUACCAGCUGACGGAGACUUAGGAUGGAGAGGAUGAUUCUGAUUCUGCGGCGGAGAGAGAUUGAGUUGGCUGAUUAGAGUCGGUAGGUGAAUGGGUUGAACCGAGUUCUGCAAUCGGGUGAGCUGAUUAAUGUUAGGAUACUCACAUUGUCGACAUAAUUAGCAAAGUCAAUUUCGUUAGUGAAGUCAAAAGGUAUUUACAUGAUUGAUUAGUAAAGAGUAAGCAUAUCUGAACUUCAUAUUUUUCUUAGAGCUUUGUGAAAGAUGGGAAAUGAGUGAUGAUGUUUGAAUCAGUCUUCUCGCAUGUUA